UUGCACGCUGGCGGCAGGCCUAACACAUGCAAGUCGAGCGGAUGAAGGGAGCUUGCUCCUGGAUUCAGCGGCGGACGGGUGAGUAAUGCCUAGGAAUCUGCCUGGUAGUGGGGGAUAACGUCCGGAAACGGGCGCUAAUACCGCAUACGUCCUGAGGGAGAAAGUGGGGGAUCUUCGGACCUCACGCUAUCAGAUGAGCCUAGGUCGGAUUAGCUAGUUGGUGGGGUAAAGGCCUACCAAGGCGACGAUCCGUAACUGGUCUGAGAGGAUGAUCAGUCACACUGGAACUGGGACACGGUCCAGACUCCUACGGGAGGCAGCAGUGGGGAAUAUUGGACAAUGGGCGAAAGCCUGAUCCAGCCAUGCCGCGUGUGUGAAGAAGGUCUUCGGAUUGUAAAGCACUUUAAGUUGGGAGGAAGGGCAGUAAGUUAAUACCUUGCUGUUUUGACGUUACCAACAGAAUAAGCACCGGCUAACUUCGUG
This 483-nucleotide ribosomal RNA is filed under the name uncultured bacterium. Its description in RNAcentral is "partial 16S ribosomal RNA". It matches the Rfam family "Bacterial small subunit ribosomal RNA", at positions 30 to 507 of the family's 1533-position model. The record is from RNAcentral.